UCUCUCUCUCUCUCUCUCUCUCUCGAUUCCCUCUCUCUCUCACCCCCGAUUCUUGCCUUCUCUGGAUCCGCAAAGCCCGCAAGGUGCAGACGGUCGUCGCCCUAUGCCUCCCGCGCCCCUCUCCCUGCCUCCUGCCUCUGUCGCCCGCCCGCGCCGCGCCCGCCCACGCUGCCAUGUGCACGCGACACACGGAUCCCGCCACUAAUCUCUCUCUCCGAUCUCUUCCCGAUCUGCGAGGGUCUUCUUCUUCUCCUCCCCCUCGCCAUCACGCGAUCGAUCGGAGGAGCUCGCAGGCCCUCGUGCCCUCUCCCUAGCGCUCGCGCUUUGUUCGACGAAAUGCCAAGGCGAUCGUAGGGCACUUUGCGAAAUGGCUCAUGCUUCAAGUAAGUUCUAUACAUUUUUACCAACAUUCGAGGAGCUCGCAGGCCCCCGCGCCCUCUCCCUAGCGCUCGCGCCCUGUUCGACGAAAUGUCAAGGCGAUCGCAGGGCGCUUCGCGAAAUGGCUCAUGUUUCAGGUAAGUUCUAUACAUUUUUACCAACAUUUACAAUGAGCAAUGCUAUAUUUGUAAUUUAUUUUGGAUUAUAGAUCUUACUAGUUGUUAUUUUAAUUUAAACUUUUAAAACCUGUAGUGAGGGAUUACAAUUCUUGAAUCUUCCUACAACCUAGACGACAGUAAAAUCAGAUUAUGCUAAAAUCAAAAAAAAAGUCAGACAAAAUUAGAAUGCCAAAAAUCUACAUUAAAGUUUGACAGCUCAUAGCAUAUCACAAAAGUGAUGUUUAGAUGAAACCAAAGCGAAAAAAGUAUCUCAAAGAAGUUGGCCACCGCACAACACACAACAACAUAUUUUUGUGACGCUUGACAAAAAAAUAGCGAGGAUAGGCAAGUAACUCCAAUACGAAAAUAUUGACAAGAUCUCAAUAAAAUAAGGGCGCCAUUUAAUUGUGAAAGUACAUGUCUGGAACUUAAUAUUUUGCUCAGCAUUUUCAGCAUAGAGGAGCCAAAGCAUGAAAAUAAUAGCUCAGUUCUUAAUUAUUUUAAUUAAUUUAUACACGUAGCUAAUGAGUAUCCAAGAUAUUUUGUGAAUGGCGCUAUAUAUUUAGGUUUUCUAAAACGUUGCCUUUCAGAGUUGUUAUUGUAGUGGAACACGGAUAUAGUGCAAAAAAAAAGGCUUCAAUAGAUGCAUAUAUGCACUGCAAAGUGCAAAAAGAUACUUGACACCAAUAAAAACCUAUAAUAUGGCCAACAUUUCAAGGGUUCAAAAGUAGCGGUGUAAUCAGUUCGGUUUGAUUCGAUUUUUAGGUAAAUUUCAAUUAGAACUGAUCAAAUAAUUUGGUUCGAAAAAAAAAUUGCAAUCGAACUGAAUAAGAAUUUGAACCUUCUAUUCCCCGAGUCUUUGUCUUCCCCGUUUUCCUCCCGUGCGAUGAUGACCUUCCCAAUGUCAGAUGGUUGCGAUAAUUGAGAAAGACCUGCACUUUCUUGAUUGGUAAUGAGAGCACUUUGGAUGGCUUUCUUCUUAAACAACCAGUUGUUCUCAUUUGUCCUAAGAAUGGUUUCGGCGUGCGCGUGGUUUCUAGCUCGGUUGGCACUACUAAUCAGGAAGGCUUUGCUGCCAAGCUAAUAAUGCUUCAUGACUAGAGGUGUCUGAGCAAAAUUUAUUUAUUUAUUUCAUACCUACUCAUGUUUGAUGCUCCUCUUCACUCUUCUCUUCUUUGCUGGGAGACAAAUGUGUAAGCUGAAUGGUUUUUAUGGUAGAUUAGAGACAAAUGUGUAAGCUUAAUUAUUUGCUGGAAAGUUUGUGAGAUAUUUUAUGAUCUGAAUUCUUUGAAGUUGAUUACUGGUGGCUUAGGAUUUGCUGCUGUGCAAGGACUUUAGAUGUUGCCUCAACAUUUUAUAUAGAUUCAUGAUGCGUGUUCAAAAUUCAGGACUCAACAUUCAGAAUUCAUAAUGUGAAUUCAUAUAAAAGGUUUUUUAUAAAAUGUUGCUUACUUAGAAGUCAGAAAUCCUUUUUUCUUUUGUUUACUCUUACUCUUAUGGGUAUUUCCUUUGUUGGGGUUUAUUUUCUCAACUGUUUCUCCAGUAUUUUCUAAAUUUUUUGGGCAUCUGAUAAAUUUCCGGUGCAAUUUUGUCGAGGGAAGAGUCUCAUUUGUUUGAUUGAUCCUUUGGUUAGUGUGAAUUAUGUGGGAGAGGCAAUGAUGAUUUUCUCUGAACAAAAUGGAAUUACUGUUGGAAAGGAAGUGAUCAUUCUGUAUUACCAAAUGAGAGGCAGAUGAUGAGGGGGGAUGCAAUAUGUGGUCUUAUUCUUCUUUCCUUCUCUUUUUGUACUCAAAUAUGCUAUUCCUGUCUUUGUUUGGAAUUAAAUGUGGUAGCUUUGGGUGGACUUGACUGCUUCGAUACAUUAUUGUUUUACUAAUUCUACUUGGUUUCCUUUAUUCCUUUCUGUUUCUUGCUAUUUUGUAUCUCUCCUUUGAGGUGAUGAUGAUUAGUAGAGGAAAACGUGGAAAAUGAUGGCUUUGAACAAGCGGAAGUUUGGACGGCCUAUUCAUAGGCAACCGCUAUGGCCUAUUCAUAAGCAACCGCUUCCUACUGUUCUUAUCCUUCGUCGUUGCACAUGUGUUCAUCCUACGGCAAUGAUGAUAGAUGAAAGAAAUCUCACUUCAAAUGUCCUCUUGGUUGGAAUCUCAUUGCGCUUGCUAUACUCUAUUUCUGCAAGCAUGAAAGCAUUAGUUUUCGCUCAGCUUACUGUCAAAACAACAUUAUUUGCUUUUGCUAUGUAUCUCAGAUAGAAAAAUAUAAUUUCUCAUAAAGUUUUUAUAGUCCUAAUUUGUUUUACUGUCUAACAUAAUUUGCUGUUGUCUUCAAUUAUAUGGUUUGGUUCGGA
Molecule: long non-coding RNA, 2880 nt
Organism: Ananas comosus (pineapple)
Lineage: Eukaryota; Viridiplantae; Streptophyta; Magnoliopsida; Poales; Bromeliaceae
Exons: 2
Source: RefSeq, a predicted model, not a curated record